Molecule: long non-coding RNA, 856 nt
Organism: Rosa chinensis
Lineage: Eukaryota; Viridiplantae; Streptophyta; Magnoliopsida; Rosales; Rosaceae
Exons: 4
Source: RefSeq, a predicted model, not a curated record
CCCCCAACCAAUAUUCAUUUUUCGUCUUCGACAUUUCGUCAAAAUAUAGCAAAACUUCUUCUCAUCCCUCCUGUCUCACUCUCGUCUUCUCUUCAUUCUCUUCUCUCCCAGAAAUCUCAACUAUAUCCUUCAACAUCGCGCUUUGGGAAUUUCUCUCUCCCCAGAGUCCAGUCCUCAUUGUCCCUAAUUUCACUUCUCUCUCUGCAAAUCAACCCUAAAUCUUCCAUCUCUAAACCCUCAAUGGAUCCGACACCUUCUUCUACCAAAUCCAAUCACAGCCACCAAAACCUAACCAAAACCCCAUAACCCAGCCAUCAACUCCAGUUCUUAAAAGCCUACCCGUCACCAAACCCCAAGUCAACCCUAAAAGAAUCUCCGUCGGAGCACCCGGACGAAUUCUUCGCUCGAAUCCAAGACUAGAAGCUAAAGAAGAAGGCCUCCACGUUCCUCUUGGCCCCAAUUGAUGCCUCUAGAGAGAGCCUCCUCACGGCUCAUCGAUUACUCAUGUUGUUAUCAGGUAUUGCGCUGUGGAAGACCGGAGUUCAUUCGUUGCUUUUCAAGCCAAUACCAGUGUUGUUAUCAGCUUGGUCUGAGAUGCAGAACAUGACGUUGCCAGGUUAAAGGCUGCAUGUAGAUAAUCAUAGUGUGCAUGUCUUGACACGGUCUAGAUCAAAGGCUGAGUUAAUUGUUCCGGGUAAGAAGGUAUUGCCUACUUAUAGUUAAUUAAAUCCAAUUUUGCAAACUCUUGGAGUAACUACUCAUUAGAGAUAGGUUAAUAGUUUGGAAGGAUGCGAAAUUGGUCUUACCCCUCCCAAGAAACCACAAAAAGCAAUGGAAGAAUACCUUUUCUUUUUCC